Molecule: long non-coding RNA, 2751 nt
Organism: Triticum dicoccoides
Lineage: Eukaryota; Viridiplantae; Streptophyta; Magnoliopsida; Poales; Poaceae
Exons: 2
Source: RefSeq, a predicted model, not a curated record
UGUGGAAGGGAGGCUAGCCGGCCAGAGCAGCAGGAGCAAGGAGGCGGGGUCGACCGUGGCAACUGGAACAGCUGCUGGUUAGCCUGACACACUGCCUCAGCCAUGUCUCCUCUAAUGCAGCCCAGACGCUCAAGAGAGGUAGUUGUGCCGUCACUGGUGGCGAGUUCAGCGGCCGCCCCCUCCUCUUCUCUUCGAACCCAGCCCUCUCUUGAGUAUGUCGUGCCCUCUACUACGGUAAAGCACCAGGUCCACGUGAGCUCCUCCUUCAACCCGCGUAUGUGAUUUCUUCCUUUUCCAUGAAUGCACACAUCUAAAGCGUUUUUUUGGGUUCCCUCAUCUAAAUUUCUUCUGAAGUGUGCAGAUUGUUAUUCAUUAUCUGGGAGGACACUAUUCUUUUCAAGGACUCAUUAGUCACAGAAUAUUUAGCUGGCAAGAUACAAAUUUUAUGAUUCAUCCAUCUCUCCAAUUCUGACCUUACAUAUCAACCUGUCUCCAUGUACCCUUCUAUAUCUGGUGCUGCUACUUUUUUUUCCUUACAUGGAUAUAUGUAUGAGAUUUCUUUGUUUAGGUAUAUUUGUGCCUGAAAGAAGUUUACAUCUAUUUUCUUGUUAGAUGAUCCUGAAUGAGAAUACUUAUGAGAUCGCAUGAAUGAGAUGUUGACGCCCUGUAUGCUCCAAAAUUGUAUCAUUCUUCCCACACAAUGGUUAGAAUCCCAGUUGUUGAAUCACAAUAGACAAGACCAUAUUUCCCAUUUUCUAUAGUCCAACUAAUAAUACAUAUUGAGCCUGGUGAUGGUUAUUGAUAUAUUGUGAUAGUAGUUUCCUGCAUUAAUUAGUUAAUGAGCCACCCUUUCGUUUUCAACUCAAAGUGCUGCAGCAGUUAAAUAGAUGUGUUCGUGCCAUUUAGCCCCAAAAUUUAGUUCAGUUCGGCUGUACAUCUAUUGCCGACCCCUUUUCUUAGUACUGAUUGACCUUUAUGUGUUAAUAUUUUUAUUGACUUCAUUUUUUCCUUUAGUCCUUCCUCUUGGUGUAUAUUCCUGAUUGUGUGAGUUCCUUUCGUGGUAUGGUAUUUAUGAUUCAGACCAUUCCAUAACAAAAUGCAUAUAUGGCCUCAUGCAUGUUUAUUGCUUGCCUGUGUAUCAUUGUGUUCUUAUCGGUUGUUUUCUGUGCGUUUCGUAGGAUGUGCGAUCUCUUCUGCCGCUACGUCUCCAUUCGACUCGCCAAGGUUUGUUGUUCUCCUUUUUACAUGUGUGUGUAUUUUGCUUUCACUAUCUGCUAUAUCAUGAUAUCUGCCUUCAUGAUCGUUUAAAUAUUAUUAUGGUGUCUGCCAUGCUGAUCGUUUAAAUAUUUUGGAUACGGCAGGGCAUUAUGUGGUGUUCUUCUCUUGCUACUUACAGUUCGUGUAUGCGUGUGAGCAGGAUCUAUGCACUUGUUUCCGUUGUUAUACUUGUUUUGGAGACUGAGGUAGCUCGGUGUGCUUUGCCGUCGCUUUCGUGUAUGUGUGAGGUUGUAGACAACGGUUCUGUUCUUGCUGGUGUAGAACUCGAGCUCCCAGGGGACGGUUCUACUCCAGUGCCAUAAAGAGAUUUUUUCUGAGCUCGGCUUUGUGUGGUUUUAUGAAUGGCUAUGAGUAGGCUGCUCUACAGGUCUUGCGUAUUUUGCAAGGUUUAUAUGGACUUUUCGUUCAUGACAAUAACUAUGAAUGUAUGAUGGCCUAUAGGAGAUCUUUCUGUCCAAGAACAUUGCGAUUUCUUUGAUUCCUACUAUGCUAUUUACUCAGUCUGCAGGCCAGCAUAUUAUUUAGAUUCUUCCUAACUACCUUACUUCGAAGCUCAGUACUGGUCUCCUUCAAGCUACAACCCCAAGGCGAGCUCUGGUGGUCAAGCUGAUGCUUCUUCGCCUCCUGUUGAAGAAAAGGAUGAUAAGGAUGUCCGGGCUUGAGUGACCAGGAACAAGUGGUGCUGCUUUUUAUGCUGUCCAUCUAUAUAUGCAUCCCUUCAGUUUGUACAGACAAAACAAAUAUUCAUUUCUGACUAGAACAAAACUUGCAGUUAAGAAACUCUGCUGCUGGAAAGGGAGCUGGGGUACUAAACAGAAUAUAGAUUGAGCCUGCCAGUUCUUUUUAAUCCAAUGGCCUGUAUUUUUUGCAGCAAUCGUCUUUUAUGUCUGGUUCCCAAAGUUAUUAGUUAGCCUGCCUAUUUCUCGCCGUUUGAUAACCUAUAUUAUAACUAUAGAGAAUAUAGUUUGAGCCUGCCAGUUCUUCUGCCUUGGAUAUGAAAUAAUGAGGCAGUUUUAAUAUUUGUCGUAGAUUCACCUGAGUUUAUUUUAAACUACAGGAUGCAUCACUGAUGGAGAAAUACCUUACAGAAUGAUGCUGAGCCCCAUCUGGAUUGGAACCUUUUUGGAGCUGCUUAUGCUUGGUGCGGAGCGGGAAGCCUAUGAUAGCAACAGUAUUGGACUCCAUAGAACUGGAACUCUAUACCUUUCUUAUGUAGCUCUUCCUUUUGUUGUCUUCCCUAGAAGGGGAUGAUGUAGUUUUUCUGAAUUACAUGUCUCCGCUUUGUUCUACGGCAGAUGCUUCUACUCUAGAAUGGUAGCAACAAUACUGGACUCCACUGAGAACUAGAACACUAUACCUUUCUUGUGUAGCUCUUCCUUUCGUAGUCUCUGCUGGAAGGUGGAGAUGUAGUUUUCCAUUUGUUCUAUGACAGAUGCUUCUACACUGGAAUGGAACCUUUUUGGAGAUUCAACA